RNAcentral lists this ribosomal RNA (342 nucleotides) under uncultured soil bacterium. RNAcentral describes it as "bacterial SSU rRNA". It matches the Rfam family "Bacterial small subunit ribosomal RNA", at positions 26 to 352 of the family's 1533-position model. The record is from RNAcentral.
AGAGUGAACGCUGGCGGUAGGCCUAACACAUGCAAGUCGAACGGCAGCACAGUAGGAGCUUGCUCUUACGGGUGGCGAGUGGCGGACGGGUGAGGAAUACAUCGGAAUCUACCUUUUGGGUGGGGAUAACGUAGGGAAACUUACGCUAAUACCGCAUACGCCCGUUCGGGGGAAAGCCGGGACCAGCAAUGGCCUGGCGCUGAUAGAUGAGCCGAUGUCGGAUUAGCUAGUUGGUGAGGUAAUGGCUCACCGAAGGCGACGAUCCGUAACUGGUCUGAGAGGAUGAUCAGUACACACGUAGGAACUGGACGACGACGGUCCAGACCUCCGUACGGGAGCAGC